RNAcentral lists this ribosomal RNA (346 nucleotides) under uncultured bacterium. RNAcentral describes it as "partial 16S ribosomal RNA". It matches the Rfam family "Bacterial small subunit ribosomal RNA", at positions 338 to 681 of the family's 1533-position model. The record is from RNAcentral.
CCUACGGGGGGCAGCAGUGAGGAAUAUUGGUCAAUGGGCGCAAGCCUGAACCAGCCAAGUCGCGUGAGGGAUGACGGUCCUAUGGAUUGUAAACCUCUUUUGUCGGGGAGCAAGGCCCGCCACGUGUGGCGGGAAGGAGAGGACCCGAAGAAAAAGCAGCGGCUAACUCCGUGCCAGCAGCCGCGGUAAUACGGAGGAUGCGAGCGUUAGCCGGAUUUCUUGGGGUUAAAGGGUGCGUAGGCGGAAGGUUAAGUCAGCGGUCAAAUGUCGGGGCUCAACACCGGCCUGCCGUUGAAACUGGUCUUCUUGAGUGAGCGCGCCGUCUGCGGUCUGCGUGUUGUAGCGG